CCCUUAGAUGUUCUGGGCUGCACGCGCGCUACACUGACAUACGCAACAAGUCUCUUUGGUUGAAAAUCCUGAGAAAUCUUUAAAAGUAUGUCGUGAUGGGGAUAGACUAUUGUAAUUAUUAGUCUUCAACGAGGAAUUCCUAGUAAGUGCAAGUCAUCAGCUUGCGCUGAUUACGUCCCUGCCCUUUGUACACACCGCCCGUCGCUCCUACCGAUUGGGUGAUCCGGUGAAUAAUUCGGAUGCGAUCCGCAGAAGUUUUGUGAGCCUUAUCACUUAGAGGAAGGAGAANUCGUANCA
RNAcentral lists this ribosomal RNA (297 nucleotides) under uncultured eukaryote. RNAcentral describes it as "partial 18S ribosomal RNA". It matches the Rfam family "Eukaryotic small subunit ribosomal RNA", at positions 1470 to 1796 of the family's 1831-position model. The record is from RNAcentral.